GACGGAGGAUGCAAGUGUUAUCCGGAAUCACUGGGCGUAAAGCGUCUGUAGGUGGUUUAGCAAGUCCGUUGUUAAAGGCCAAGGCUCAACCUUGGUAUGGCAAUGGAUACUACUAGACUAGAGGAUUGUAGAGGUAAGGGGAAUUUCCAGUGGAGCGGUGAAAUGCGUAGAGAUUGGAAAGAACACCAAAGGCGAAGGCACCUUACUGGGCAAUACCUGACACUGAGAGACGAAAGCUAGGGUAGCAAAUGGG
This 253-nucleotide ribosomal RNA is filed under the name uncultured bacterium. RNAcentral describes it as "partial 16S ribosomal RNA". It matches the Rfam family "Bacterial small subunit ribosomal RNA", at positions 524 to 776 of the family's 1533-position model. The record is from RNAcentral.